ACGUAAUACAAAAUGUUCGAAACGGAAACAGGUACAUAGGUAUCAAACAAAACAAUCUAAAUUAUAAAAUAUGAAAAAUAGAGAUAGAGUACCUACAAUAAGUAUAUAAAGAGUUUAUAAAAACUACAAAAUACGCCAUGUACCAAUACUUUAAUUAGACGCAUGCGCCUUUAAUACAACGCGAAGUGAGGCACGCCACAGCUGUUACAAUUUCGCUUGCGUUCGAGGUGAGCUGCCAGACUUGUCGGCGGGUCGUGAGAGAUCGGUUCUCGGUUGCUUUAAAUAUUAUAGUGCCGUAGCUCACUUACGAAAAAACGUCUGCAGCUUGUUAUAUAAAACAAGAAAAACUCUGUUAAGUUGGCAUGCCUCGGCUGAAUGGUGGCUCUUACUCGUCCCUGGACCAAGUUUACAAGGGUACAACAAUACCCAACAAAAAAGAAGAUUUUAAGAAAAUACUUCGGUUUGGGGGUGCUACGAAGAAAUUUGAGCCUUUGUUUCAUAAGAACUCUUCAGAUAUGAAAGUUGUUUUGACUGAAGAGGCCACUAUAGAAGAAGCCACAGCCAAGCCUGACAAAAUGCCUAUCAAUGCUGAAGAAGCUGCACUUUUGGGUGUAUUGUCCGUGGACAGCAUGGACGACAUCGAGCUGAAGAACAUCCAGCUGCAAUUUCCUAGUGGACGGCGGUUUAGCGGCGACGGGUGCUCGGAGGUGCGCGUGCGCACCGACCGCGGGGACCUCGUCGUGGCCGUCCAGGGAGACCGCGCCAAGCCUGCCAUCCUUACCUACCAUGACCUGGGGCUCAAUUACAUCUGUUUCCAACCGUUCUUCAACUUCGUGGACAUGCGCGCUCUGCUGGAGAACUUCUGCGUGUACCAUGUGAACGCGCCUGGCCAGGAGGAGGGAGCGCCCAGUCUGCCCGAGGAUUACAUCUACCCGACGAUGGACGAGCUGGCCAAUCAGCUCAACUUCGUGCUGGGACACUUCGGCAUAAAGACCUUCAUCGGGUUCGGCGUGGGCGCCGGCGCUAACAUCCUCGCGAGAUUCGCUCUCGUCCAUCCGCAAAAGGUGGAUGCUCUGGCGCUGAUCAACUGCACCUCCAGCCAGGCCGGCUGGAUCGAGUGGGCCUACCAGAAGAUAAAUAGCCGCUCGCUGCGCUCCCGCGGGAUGACCCAGGCCGUGCUCGACUAUCUCAUGUGGCACCACUUCGGAAGGUACCCGGAGGAGCGCAACCACGACCUGACCCAAAUGUACCGCAUGUACUUCACGCGCAACGUGAACCCGACCAACUUGUCCAUGCUGAUCGACUCGUACGUGCGCCGCACCGACCUGGGCAUCACCCGCGACGCUGACUCCAUCAAAGUCCCUGUGCUGAACAUCACCGGCGCCCUUUCCCCCCACGUUGAGGACACGGUUACUUUCAACGGCCGCCUCAACCCGUCCAAGGCUACUUGGAUGAAGAUUUCUGAUUGCGGCAUGGUCCUGGAAGAGCAACCAGGCAAGAUAUCCGAGGCCUUCCGCCUGUUUCUGCAGGGCGAGGGAUACGCAUGUAGUCCGCAUGCCGGCGGCCGUCCGUCUCUCUAAGCCUCGUAUACUAAUGCGAACCGCUACUCGUCUCAACCCCAGUUUUUUUAUUUUCCCCGUUAUGUUUGAGCCUGGAUAUGCCUUACGUUACGCGGCAACCCAUUAUGACAUGUGGCACCCUUGUCGCCGACAAAGAUCGUGGCGUUCCGUCGGCUGUCGGACUCUCAGCGCCGUCGCUCGUGCCGCUUGUCUCCCGUCAUCCGCAUCACCGAAAACCCCAUCUCGGAGGCAGUCGUCUGCUAAACACUUCAUUUAAAACGGGCGCGCGCGAUUUCUGCGGGACGAAUUUUAAUUUUUUUAGGUUGUCUUAUAAAUUGGGAUUUCAAUGUACUAGCCUGUAGCUUAUCCAUAGUCAGUAAAACUAAAACUGGUGUCGUGUAUGUACUUAUUGUAUGUGUAGCCUUUGUUGUAAACUAAAUUAAGCCAAUUCAAAUUUAUUUUUAUCUGUGCGCUCGACGAGUUAAUUUUUUUUUCUAUGGUUAAAAGCGUGUAAAUUAGUUGAUUUGUAUAAAUUUUACGACACUCAAAAAUGUGGUUUUGAAUAUGGAUAAUGCUGCAGAUUAUCUAUAGCGUUGCAGUCCCGAUUUAUAUCAGAUUAUUUCCUUAUUUUGUUAACUGUUUACAUUUCAUUAUUGCUAUAAUUAACAAUUACAUCGCACAUGUCUUUUCACAUAAAUGCAAAUCGUCCCGCAUAUAACAAUCCCACCAGAACCUGCUUCUCAAACAAGUUAUUGUAUUAUUAAGACUGGCGUAUAUGGCAGUGUGAUCGGGGGCGAUUCAUAAUUAGUUCAAGGUAUUAUAAAUUAAAAAGAAAUACAACAUUUAAAAAAUUUGAAUCGUUGCACUGACGGAGAAUUCUUGAACACAUAAAAAAUAUGUACAUUAUGUACGUAUAUGGUAUAAUUUAUAUAGAACAUUUUCUACUGUUUGUGUCCUAGGUGAGAGACAAAACGAAAAAUCAAAUAACGAAUUUAUUUCUAUGCAUUUCUUUUUAUAUAUUUUUUUUUAAUUUAAAAGUUGACAAUAAAUUAUGGUUCUUUUUAAAAAAACUUCGUUUACAACAAUAAAUAUAUUUUUGUGUCAUGAAUUGUCCAAAACGUUUAGCAUGGCUGAACAUAUAUUGGCUGGUUGCAUUCCAUUGCACUGUCGGUAAGCCAAUCUUAGGUAGAAUGGAAUUAGGACAUACGGACAAACGGAACCAAAGAUUUAUUAUUACAUAAGUGUACAUAUCGCGAAGGAAGGCUGUUGGAAGCAGGUCCGCGCGCGCCGUCCGCGCCUGGUAGUUAGGUCCCACACGCCAGUGAGAAGCACUGUUGACGUUAUUAUACCUAUAUCAUUAUAUAAUUUUAAGGAAACUUUACUAGUACCCACUAUACAUUAUAUACUAUAGAUUAGUUGUGUUAGGCUAUCGUCACAUUUAUUACGAAUUGGGGAUUGCGACUGCGGUGAGAGCGGGGUUUUUUGUAACUAGAAAUUACAUUGGAAGCUGUGUGGUUCCCAUGUUGGACGGGUCGCCACGUGUGUGGUAUUGGACAAAAAAUACUUAUUACUGUUUUGACUUUAGUAAUAGUAACCGAAUAUUUAAACAACUUAAAAAGUUUACUUAAAAGGCAGGAUAACGAAAUAGACAGCUGAAAUCCUGGCCUGCUGCCUGCCUGUGCAAGCCUGUUCUACUGGUUCUAUGAUAGCAGAUAUUUAUUUUUCGCCUGUAAUAGUAACAAAUAUACUUGUAACAAAAGUCAAAGGUGCCCGUCGAUCCGGAACCACACGUGGGCGUCGUUGGGUGCUAUGUUAAGACCAAGAUAGUUUUUCAAAAAAAAAAAGAUCGUGUAACGAAAAGUCUUUUAGACAUAUUUUGCAAAUGUACGUUUCUUUAUUAAAAUGAAUUUAAUUGAUGACUUCUAAUAUCUAUAGCCCUAGUAUUUGUAAACAGUCCUAUAUUUAUUCGAUUUCUUAUUACAAUUUUGAACAAAGGCCUAUGUUGAUGUACCGAAGCGUUGUGACCGAUUUUUAUGUAUUUGUUAUUGUGAUAACCUUUUGUUAUUUUUAUGUAUUGUGUUUAAUUUAUUCAUAAGUAUAAUUUCGUAAUUAUUUUUGUCACUGUGAUCAUUGAGUAUUAUGUAUGAGUUAAGUACAUAUUUUUGUUUAGAGUAGUAAAUAAUUUAUUUUUAUAGUAAUGUAAGUAAAUACAUUUCACCGCUUUUAGUCGUGAAGCCGAAUAGAACAAUAUCCACUUUACGCAGUGGCUUGUGGAGCUGAGACUGGCUCCGAUGUCAGUGUAGAUGUUUACACGCUGUAUAAAUACACCUGUCUCCAUCUACACUAUCCGUCCCACUGUUUAGUUCCAGAAUCUCACACUUAUUUUCUCCUCGGUUUAAGCGGUUACAAUGAAAUUGUAUUAUGAGCUAUGCUAGUAGGUAAUAAGGAACAUAUGUAAAGAUGUUAUUAAUAUAAGCUUGGAAGAAUGUAUUGCGCGGAGUAUUUUUGAUGCAAUCAAAGAAAUAUUUUUCUGUUUUUACUUUUUAAUAAUAAUUUUGAAAUAACAAUAACCGGCACUAUACAAUAUAGGGCGUAAUCGGCGGUGAAAAUAGUUUGCAUCGAAAAUACACGUCGAAUUUGUAAUGGCUUAUCUUUGAAUAAAUGUAUUAACCGCGUAAAUUGUAGGAACUAUACUCUUAUAGACCCUUCAUACAACAGUGCGAGUUUCCUGGUAGUUCUGUUUAAUGGUGUAUCGAUGUUAAGGUAUCGGAGUUUACAUACUUAGAAUAGAUGUUUUGAUCUGUAGUUGGAUCUGAGUAGAGGACUGUUCGUUCCAACCUUAGAAAAUUACAUGUACGACGCGCGCAUGCGCAGCUCUUAUUGGCCAGACCGGACGUCACGUAGUUCAAGUCAAAUCAAAUUUCAAUAUCAAAUGUCGUACAUUUAAAAUUCUCAAGAUGCUAUUAUAUGCUUUGUAGAAGAAUAUUAAUACAUAUAUAUUUUCUAGAAUUAACAUUUUAACGAGAUCAAAAGAAAACUUUGUUUUGUAGUGUUCGAUAUCUGGACUUAUUUCGAUUAACUUGUGUGAGUUUCAAAUAUGGGUCUAUUAAAAGGUGAUUUUUUAAUUG
RNA transcript from Plodia interpunctella (Indianmeal moth), 4687 nucleotides. It is a transcript of the gene named Misexpression suppressor of KSR 2, with no coding region annotated. The record is from RefSeq and is a predicted model, not a curated record. The transcript has 12 exons. NCBI's taxonomy places the organism in Eukaryota, Metazoa, Arthropoda, Insecta, Lepidoptera, Pyralidae.